Molecule: long non-coding RNA, 440 nt
Organism: Hyla sarda
Lineage: Eukaryota; Metazoa; Chordata; Amphibia; Anura; Hylidae
Exons: 3
Source: RefSeq, a predicted model, not a curated record
CCUCACCUAUCAGAUCCCUCCUCUGCCAGCUCCAUCUGCUAUCUAUAUGGGAUCAGGGUAUAUAGUGGUUAUACACCUCUCCUCCCAACUCUAUCUGUAUACUGCUGCUGCUAUCUCUAUUGGAUCGGAAUAUAUGGAGUUCCCCUUUAACCAAGCAAGAAACUCUUCCAGAUGACACUCUACUCUUCUGAAUGACAUUCUGGUUUGGCUAAUAAUCCCCAGUCAUGUUCAUUGAGCAUUGACUUGCUCGGACACUACCUCCAACAGGACAGAGAACAUUUCUUAAUACAGCUGCCUAGAGAGAAGGUUAGAACUCUGAAUGUGUCACCCAGUGAUCGUAAGGGGAAUUGCAGCAUGUCAACGGUUUAUUUGCAUAGUGGAUAACAUAUUUUAUUUGUAUCCUGAGAAAUCGGAGUCCUUUACAGACAUUAUUAAAACGA